UGGUUCUUUAACUUAACCGGUAAAGUGUAUUCUUGAUAAGGAUAUGUUCAGUGUUCGAGUCACUGAAGAAUCAA
This 74-nucleotide transfer RNA is filed under the name Staphylococcus aureus. Its description in RNAcentral is "tRNA-Ile". It matches the Rfam family "tRNA". Rfam says of the family: Transfer RNA (tRNA) molecules are approximately 80 nucleotides in length. Their secondary structure includes four short double-helical elements and three loops (D, anti-codon, and T loops). Lineage: Bacteria; Bacillati; Bacillota; Bacilli; Caryophanales; Staphylococcaceae. RNAcentral also lists the same sequence under 2 other names. The record is from RNAcentral.